AGUCUUAAUUGGGCGUUAAGUUGCAGGGUAUAGACCCGAAACCCGGUGAUCUAGCCAUGGGCAGGUUGAAGGUUGGGUAACACUAACUGGAGGACCGAACCGACUAAUGUUGAAAAAUUAGCGGAUGACCUGUGGCUGGGGGUGAAAGGCCAAUCAAACCGGGAGAUAGCUGGUUCUCCCCGAAAGCUAUUUAGGUAGCGCCUCGUGAAUUCAUCUCCGGGGGUAGAGCACUGUUUCGGCUAGGGGGCCAUCCCGGCUUACCAACCCGAUGCAAACUGCGAAUACCGGAGAAUGUUAUCACGGGAGACACACGGCGGGUGCUAACGUCCGUCGUGAAGAGGGAAACAACCCAGACCGCCAGCUAAGGUCCCAAAGUCAUGGUUAAGUGGGAAACGAUGUGGGAAGGCACAGACAGCCAGGAUGUUGGCUUAGAAGCAGCCAUCAUUUAAAGAAAGCGUAAUAGCUCACUGGUCGAGUCGGCCUGCGCGGAAGAUGUAACGGGGCUAAACCAUGCACCGAAGCUGCGGCAGCGACACUCAGGUGUUGUUGGGU
RNAcentral lists this ribosomal RNA (552 nucleotides) under Salmonella enterica subsp. enterica serovar Bareilly. RNAcentral describes it as "partial 23S ribosomal RNA". It matches the Rfam family "Bacterial large subunit ribosomal RNA", at positions 680 to 1229 of the family's 2925-position model. Lineage: Bacteria; Pseudomonadati; Pseudomonadota; Gammaproteobacteria; Enterobacterales; Enterobacteriaceae. The record is from RNAcentral.